UAAACGACUCUCGGCGACGGAUAUCUCGGCUCACGCAUCGAUGAAGAACGUAGCAAAAUGCGAUACUUGGUGUGAAUUGCAGAAUCCCGUGAACCAUCGAGUUUUUGAACGCAAGUUGCGCCCGAAGCCUUCUGGUUGAGGGCACGUCUGCCUGGGCGUCACGC
Molecule: ribosomal RNA, 164 nt
Filed under: Arnica angustifolia
Lineage: Eukaryota; Viridiplantae; Streptophyta; Magnoliopsida; Asterales; Asteraceae
Description: 5.8S ribosomal RNA
Rfam family: 5.8S ribosomal RNA
About the family: 5.8S ribosomal RNA (5.8S rRNA) is a component of the large subunit of the eukaryotic ribosome. It is transcribed by RNA polymerase I as part of the 45S precursor that also contains 18S and 28S rRNA.
Source: RNAcentral